AUGCAUGCAGUCGCACGCAGCGCGCUUCGGCGCGCUGAGUGGCGCACGGCUGAGUAGCACGUGGGAACGUACCCAGGAGUGGGGGAUAACGCCGCGAAAGCGACGCUAAGCCCGCAUACGCUCGGCUCGCAAGAGGCGAGGAAAGCAGCAAUGCGCUCGUGGCGCGGCCCGCGGCCCAUCAGGUAGUUGGGGGGGUAAGGGCCUCCCAAGCCGAUGACGGGUAGCUGGUCUGUGAGGACAAUCAGCCAGACUGGGACUGAGACACGGCCCAGACUCCUACGGGAGGCAGCAGCAAGGAAUUUUCGUCAAUGGGCGCAAGCCUGAACGAGCAACGCCGCGUGGUGGAUGACGGCCUUCGGGUUGUAAACACCUUUUGGGGGGGAAGAGUAGGACGGUACCCCUUGAAUAAGGCUCGGCUAACUCUGUGCCAGCAGCCGCGGUAAGACAGAGGAGCCAAGCGUUGUCCGGAUUGACUGGGCGUAAAGCGCACGCAGGCGGGUGCGCGCGUGGGGUGUGAAACCUGGCCGCUUAACGGCCAGCGGCCAUCCCAUACGGCGUGCCUGGAGCCUUGCAGAGGGCGGUGGAAUUGCCGGUGUAGUGGUGAAAUGCGUAGAGAUCGGCAGGAACACCCAGGGGGAAACCAGCCGCCUGGGGCAAGCGCUGACGCUG
RNAcentral lists this ribosomal RNA (669 nucleotides) under uncultured Kouleothrix sp. RNAcentral's name for it is "bacterial SSU rRNA". It matches the Rfam family "Bacterial small subunit ribosomal RNA", at positions 51 to 748 of the family's 1533-position model. The record is from RNAcentral. Lineage: Bacteria; Bacillati; Chloroflexota; Chloroflexia; Chloroflexales; Roseiflexaceae.